AGCAGCCGCGGUAAUUCCAGCUCCAAUAGCGUAUAUUAAAGUUGUUGCAGUUAAAAAGCUCGUAGUUGAAUUUCGGGGUUAGUAGGUUGGUCAUGCCUCUGGUAUGCACUGGCCUCACUGAUUCCUCCUUCCUGAUGAGCCGUAAUGCCAUUAAUUUGGUGUUGCGGGGAAUUUGGACUGUUACUUUGAAAAAAUUAGAGUGUUUAAAGCAAGCUAACGCUUGAAUACAUUAGCAUGGAAUAAUGAAAUAGGACGUUCGAUCCUAUUUUGUUGGUUUCUAGGAUUGACGUAAUGAUUAAUAGGGAUAGUUGGGGGCAUUAGUAUUCAAUUGUCAGAGGUGAAAUUCUUGGAUUUAUUGAAGACUAACUACUGCGAAAGCAUUUGCCAAGGAUGUUUUCAUUAAUCAAGAACGAAAGUUAGGGGAUCGAAGACGAUCAGAUACCGUCGUAGUCUUAACCAUAAACUAUGCCGACUAGGGGUCGGAUGAUGUUAAUUUUUAAUGACUCAUUCGACGCCUUAC
Molecule: ribosomal RNA, 520 nt
Filed under: uncultured Glomus
Lineage: Eukaryota; Fungi; Glomeromycota; Glomeromycetes; Glomerales; Glomeraceae
Description: SSU rRNA
Rfam family: Eukaryotic small subunit ribosomal RNA
Source: RNAcentral